This 61-nucleotide transfer RNA is filed under the name Phascolosoma esculenta. RNAcentral describes it as "tRNA-Met". The record is from RNAcentral. Lineage: Eukaryota; Metazoa; Annelida; Sipuncula; Phascolosomatiformes; Phascolosomatidae.
GGUAAGAUCAGCUAUAUUUAGGCUAUUGGGCUCAUGCCCCAACAGAGACUUUCUCUUACCU